AACAGGAUUAGAUACCCUGGUAGUCCACGCCGUAAACGAUGUCGACUUGGAGGUUGUGCCCUUGAGGCGUGGCUUCCGGAGCUAACGCGUUAAAUAGACCGCCUGGGGAGUACGGCCGCAAGGUUAAAACUCAAAUGAAUUGACGGGGGCCCGCACAAGCGGUGGAGCAUGUGGUUUAAUUCGAUGCAACGCGAAGAACCUUACCUGGUCUUGACAUCCACAGAACUUGCCAGAGAUGGCUUGGUGCCUUCGGGAACUGUGAGACAGGUGCUGCAUGGCUGUCGUCAGCUCGUGUUGUGAAAUGUUGGGUUAAGUCCCGCAACGAGCGCAACCCUUAUCCUUUGUUGCCAGCGGUCCGGCCGGGAACUCAAAGGAGACUGCCAGUGAUAAACUGGAGGAAGGUGGGGAUGACGUCAAGUCAUCAUGGCCCUUACGACCAGGGCUACACACGUGCUACAAUGGCGCAUACAAAGAGAAGCGACCUCGCGAGAGCAAGCGGACCUCAUAAAGUGCGUCGUAGUCCGGAUUGGAGUCUGCAACUCGACUCCAUGAAGUCGGAAUCGCUAGUAAUCGUGGAUCAGAAUGCCACGGUGAAUACGUUCCCGGGCCUUGUACACACCGCCCGUCACACCAUGGGAGUGGGUUGCAAAAGAAGUAGGUAGCUUAACCUUCGGGAGGGCGCUUACCACUUUGUGAUUCAUGACUGGGGUGAAGUCGUAACAAGGUAACC
RNAcentral lists this ribosomal RNA (730 nucleotides) under uncultured bacterium. Its description in RNAcentral is "bacterial SSU rRNA". It matches the Rfam family "Bacterial small subunit ribosomal RNA", at positions 771 to 1501 of the family's 1533-position model. The record is from RNAcentral.